AGUUGCUAGUUACAGUGCCCUGGCUUAUCGUGUGUUAGACUCUGAGUUAAACAUCAACUCCUUGAAUCAUUACAAGCUCCUUAUCAGGUGGGUAUCAACCUCAAUUUACAGAUGAAGAAGCCAAGACUUGGGCUGCUUGCAUUACAUUAACCGAGGUUUACCCGCAGCGAGGCUGCCUCCAAAGCAUCCGGAGUUUGCAACCAUCACUGUCCACCCCGCGAGCUGCAAUAGUGCGAGAACUACAAUUCCCGUGGGGCUGUGCGGGAGCAUCGCGAGAGUUACCUUAACUGUGGCGGCGGGAAGGCGGACCCUGCAGCUGGCUGGGCGGUUAGGAGGGUCCGGGGCCGAGACGAUGGCUGACGACAACCCUGACAGCGACUCCACGCCGCGCACGCUGCUGCGACGCGUGCUGGAUACAGCGGACCCGCGCACCCCGCGGCGACCCCGGAGUGCUCGGGCUGGAGCCCGGAGAGCCCUGCUUGAAACGGCUUCCUCCAGGAGGUUGAGUGGCCAAACAAGGACGAUAGCCAGAGGGCGUUCCCAUGGAGCCAGGGUAAGUACCCAGCCCACUGACCCCAAAGGGCCCUGGCUGCCUCGGGGAGGGGGGUUGAGGUCU
RNAcentral lists this small RNA (616 nucleotides) under Pan troglodytes (chimpanzee). RNAcentral describes it as "retained intron". Lineage: Eukaryota; Metazoa; Chordata; Mammalia; Primates; Hominidae. The record is from RNAcentral.